UGCCUGCUUCUGUGUGAUAUGUUUGAUAUUGGGUUGUUUAAUUAGGAAUCAACUAAAUAUCGAACAUAUUCUUACAGCAGUGGGCA
Canis lupus familiaris (dog) is the source of this 86-nucleotide non-coding RNA. NCBI's taxonomy places the organism in Eukaryota, Metazoa, Chordata, Mammalia, Carnivora, Canidae. The record is from Rfam.